AGGGGUAUAGCUCAGUGGUAGAGCCCAUGAUCGGUGUGCAUGAGGUCCUGGGUUCAAUCCCCAGUGCCUCCC
Molecule: transfer RNA, 72 nt
Filed under: Camelus bactrianus (Bactrian camel)
Lineage: Eukaryota; Metazoa; Chordata; Mammalia; Artiodactyla; Camelidae
Also listed under: 2 other names
Rfam family: tRNA
About the family: Transfer RNA (tRNA) molecules are approximately 80 nucleotides in length. Their secondary structure includes four short double-helical elements and three loops (D, anti-codon, and T loops).
Source: Rfam by way of RNAcentral